CUUUAAAACAUUAAAUAUUUUUUAUUGGCCAAUUCAUAACUUAAGUAUUAGUCAAUAAAACUCUUAAAUGUCACAAAUUUUUCACCACGAGGAACAAUACAAAAAUUAAUUUUAGAUAAACACUGUACAAAACUGUAGGUCUGUUAUAACAACUUCUGAGCUACUAAUGUAGGCAGUAGGCAGCAUUUUAAGGCAUCAUACAUGUCUUCACAGAACAAAAGGUAUAAUUUUUGCCAGAUUUUAAGGCAGCAUCACAUGUAUUUUUCACAACGAAGGAAACCCCAUGCACAUGAGCUCACUCAACGUUGUACAAGGUAAGAGAAAUAUAAAGUUGAUUAUAAGUAUUUACAUUCCAUUCGGUACGAAAAAGUACAAAGUCAUUAGUUUAAUCCUAUUAAAAUGGACUAUUUUGCCCGAUUUUUGUGUGUGGGCUACGUAUUUUUAUGCUUACCACCAGAGAAUAUCGUCGAUAGCUUAGCAGCAUGCUAAUGUUAAAUUCUACUGAUCAGUUGUGAGUCGAGUACAGAGAACGCUAUUUGUGUGCUGCAUGGAGUUGCUGCCUAUCUAGAGUGUUCCAGAUCUGUCACUUAUGAGGUUUAAUGGCUGUUUGGAUGCUCACUUAGAAGAUAGUUGUUCACUAAAAUUAUGCCUAACAUAUUAGUAAACAUUCUUUUUAAUUAUUAUUAUUAUUUUAUUUUUAUUUUGUCAAAUAAAGUGCACUAUAGAAUGAGAAUAUCCCUGUCUAAAUUAUGUAUAGCACUUAUUUCUGACAAGCAAUUGCAAGUGUUUGUUGGUGUGUCUUCAGUUGCACUUUAUUUCCUCUCCAAACCACCAUCAGUUGGUUGGUGAAGGAAAUGUACUGUAUUUAUUGAUUUUGAAAGUGUCUUCAUAGCUUUUGUCUGUGGUACUUGGCUGUCAAGUUAAAUUCAAUUAAAUUCACAUUUAUUUGUAUAGUACUUUUCACAAUAUCGUUUCAAAGCAGCUUUACAGAAAAUGUAUGUCAACAUUUCAAUUUAGAGUAAUCUGUUGUCAAAGGUGACUGUGUCCGAAUUAUGUAAUUUCAGAAAUGUACAUACACAAAUCACGCAGUUAGCUAACCAUGUAUUAAUUUAUUAUUUUAAGGUAGAAACAAUGAGCUCAUGGAAGUAAUGAAUACAUGUUAACACAAUGAUUAUAGCAAAAUUUGGAAUGAUGCAUGUUGAUCCAGAGUUUGCAUCAUCUGAAUUCCUCGCAGGGGUUGGGGUCAUCUCUUCACAGGUGUUGAGGCAUCUGAAGUCUUCAUAAGAGGCUGAAUCCAAACUGGAGCUGAUGUACUCUCUAGUCACCUCGGGAUGGGCAUCCCGAGAUAAAACAGAAAAGCAAAGCAAAUGGAGAAUAAUUAGCGUAGCUGCUGUUCAUAACAUUAAGCAAAGAUAGUCAUGUGCAUUUGAUCUGAUAUGAGUACAAGGAUAUGAGAUGCAUUAUGUGAACGCUUGGCUAAAGAGAUGCUAGAUUUAAACUGGGUGUGUGAGUCUGAGCCCCGAACAUUAUCAGGAAGGCUAUUCCAGAGUUUAGGAGCCAAAUGUGAAAAUGCUCUCCCUCCUUUAGUGGACUUAGAUAUCCUAGGUACAACCAGAAGUCCAGUUUUGUGAUCUUAAAGAGCGUGAUGGAUUGUAGGGCGAUAGAAGAUUGGUUAAAUACACAGGAGCUAAACCAUUUAGGGCCUUAUAGGUCAGUAGCAGAACUUUAUAAUUGAUACGGAACUUAAUAGGUAACCAGUGUAGAUGUUACAAAGGUAGCGCAAAAGCGCCACCUAGUGGCCAUUAGUAGAUGUGCUGGAAGUGAUUGCGUACGAGAAAUAUGUAUGACAAAAACAGCUGCGCCACGGGAAGUCUGUUCCAGAAGUCGCGAUGCAGUGUUUGGGUUAAUUAUUAAUAAUUGUGUGCGUCCAUUUGAGAAAACCACACACCCAACAUGCUCAUGAUUAUAAUGUAAACCUACCAUCUCCAUCUCCAUAAGCUGAGUGGCAACUACUGCAUCCAAAUCUGCACCUGUAUUGUAAAAAUGUGGCAACGUUGCUUUCUAAUGUAUGUCUGUGCUGCUGAAGAAAGUUCAGUAAACUGUUCAAACUGAUUCCUGCCUCCUGUCCUGCGUCCUGACCGAAGCUCCAGGGUGAGAACUAUAACCUCCUAAGCACCUGUGGUCCUUUCUCUCAAACAGUAGAGAUGAUAAAAUUGGUUUUAUAUGAUCAUAUUUUCUUGACCUAGUAAGAACUCUAGCAUCUGCAUUUUGGACUAAUUGUAGCUUGUUUAUUGAGGAUGCAGGACAACCAGCUAGUAAUGCAUUACAGUAAUCUAGUCUAGAGGUAAUGAAUGCAUGAACUAACUUUUCUGCAUCAGAAACAGAUAAAAUGUUCUGUAGCUUAGCAAUGUUUCUGAGGUGGUAGAAGGCUGUUUUUGUAACAUAUGAAUUUUCAAAGGACAAGUUGCUGUCUAAUAUAACACCUAGGUCUUUAACUGUAGAGGAUGAAGUAACAGUACAUCUUUCUAAAUGCAAAUUGUAGUCUAAAAGAGAUUCUGUGAACAGGUUUCUGGUCCAAUAAGUAGUACCUCAGUCUUAUCUGAAUUUAAUAGAAGAAAAUCAUCGGCAUAGAAGUGGAAAUUUUUUCCAUGUUUUCUCAUAAUAUAAAAUAGCAGAGGGCCUAACACAGAUCCUUGCUGCACUCCAUAAUUUACUGAUCUUCGAUUUUUUCCCCAUUUAAAUAUACAAAAUUGUAACGGUCUGAUAGGUAUGAUCAAAACCACCUUAGUGCCUGUCCCUGAAUACCAGUGUAAUAUUGUAGUCGAUCCAAGAGUAUUUUAUGAUCUAUAGUGUCGAACGCAGCACUGAGAUCAAGUAACACUAGUAUUGAGAUACAGCCUUGGUCAGAAGCUAGAAGUAAGAAAUUUGUAAUUUUAACAAGCGCAGUUUCUGUGCUGUGAUGAGGCCUGAAUCCUGACUGAAAUUUUUCAUAAAAAUCAUUUUUUUGCAAGAAGGAGUAUAAUUGGGCCAACACAACUUUUUCUAAUAUUUUAGACAUAAAUGGAAGAUUUGAAAUGGGUCUGUAAUUUGCUAAUACAUUUAUAUCUAAUUGUGGUUUCUUAAUGAGAGGCUUAAUAACUGCCAGCUUGAAUGGUUAAUAAUAUUGAGAAGAAGCUCUCCUGCAACAGGUAACAACUCUUUCAGCAGUUUAGUGGGUAUUGGAUCUAAUAAAUAUGUUGUUGGUUUAGAUGCUGUGAUAAGUUUAUUUAGCUCUUCCUGUCCUAUAGUUGUAAAGCACUGCAACUGUUCUUGAGGGGUGAUAAGUGAGGCUGAAUCAUAAAACACUGUCAAAGGUUGUACAUUUACAAUUGUAUUUCUGAUGCUUUCGAUUUUCUCAGUGAAGAAAUUACUACUAAAAGUCAUUACUACUAAUGGAAUAUUUUGUUCCACUGAUGUCUGUUUACUUGUUAAUCUAGCCACUGUACUAAACAAGAACCUUAGAUUGUUUUGGUUAUUUUCUAUGAGUUUGUGGAGAUGCUUGGACUUGGCUGCUUUUAGAGCCUUUUUAUAACGGGAAGUGCUGUCUUUCCACGCAUUCUAAAGACCUCUAAACGAGUUUGUCUCCAUUUUUGCUCUAGAUUACGCGUUUCGCUCUUGAUAGCAUGGGUAAUACUGUUGUACCUUUUUUAAUCUGAUGGGUGUAACAGUUUCUAAUGUACUAGAGAAAAUAGUGCCCUCAUUUCCUCAAGUUCAUUUGUGUGUUUGGGUACACUGAGCAGCUGAGACAGAUCAGGCAGGUUAUUUGUGAAUCUGUCUAUAGUUGUCGGGAGAAUUGUUCUACCUAGUCGAUAACACGGUUCAAUAUGCCAAAUAUCAGCAGUAUGCAGUAUGCACAUUACAAGGUAGUGAUCAGUGACAUCAUCACUUUGCAGUAGAAUUUCUAUAUCAGUAUGAUUGGAUCCAUGUGAUAUAAUUAAAUCUAGUCUAUGAUUAAAACGUUGAGUGGGUCUAGUGACAUUUUGCUUGACCCCAAAGGAAUUUAGUAAAUCUAUAAGCGCAUCAUUUGUAUUGUCUACAUGAAUGUUAAAAUCUCCAACAGUCAGUGCUUUAUUUAUGUUGACCAGUAGGUCUGAGAGAAAAAUAAGCAAACUGUUUUAGGAAAACAACAUAAGGCCCUGGAGGUCUAUAUAUGGUAGCCAAAACAAGAGAUAGUAGGGACUUUUUUCUUAUAUCUGAAAGUGUAACAUUUAGCACAAGCACUUCAAAUGAAUUAAACCCAUGUUCUGUUUUCUGAGUAACAUUAAAGGCAGGAACACACCAAGCCGACAGUCGGCCAACUAAGUUUUCUCAGUGUGUUCUGCACCGUCAGCUGAAGUUGGUCCUCGUCAGCUUUUUUUUCGGCCGAUUGGACAUGUUGAAUCGGCGUCGGAGCUCGUCGGUCUGUCGGGCCAUCUGAUCAUUUUGAUUGGCUGUUCAGCUACUGCCACCUGCUGGUAUGGAAAGGCAUUUCAUCUUAUGCAUGCGCAGAAUAGACGUGCUACUUGGCCGUCGACUGUCGAGCGUCGGUUUGGUGUGUCAGGGCAACUUUGGACCCAGACACUGCCGACGUGAGUCAACCCCGCAGUCUGCUUUCAUCGCCACUAUUUCGUCGGCGUCGGCUUGGUGUGUUCCUGCCUUAAGAAUGUCUCUAUAGAUAGUUGCAACACCGCCGCCAUGUCCAAUCAGACAGGGCUUGUGCUUAUAACAUUAGCCUGGUAGACUAGACUCAUUAAAACCAAAAUAAUCAUUUGGUUUAAGCCAGGUUUCAGUAAGGCAAAUUACAUCAAAACAAUUAUCUGUGAUCAUUUCAUUUACAAUAGCCGCCUUAGGUGUUAGCGAUCAAAUGUUUAGGAGCCAAAGCUUUAGAAAUGGUUGUUGUUCAGAAAUUUUGAGAUUUUUCUAGAUCCUAUAGAUAAAUUGUUUGACCUCACUAUUCGGGGAAUAAACAGUUUCAAUAGACUAUACUACACUCACAUUUCUAUCAAUUAAGUGGGUAGAACAAAGACUGUGAUUUGAGGUUUGACUAGCUAGUCAUACGGUGCGUAGCAUCUUGGAGAUGUUGUCCGACAGAAGAUCUGCAUCGAUUCUGCUGGGGUGCAGGCCAUCAGCACGGAAGAGCCUAGGCCACUUCCAGAAAAGAUUUCAAUUAUUUACAAAGAGCAGCUUCUGUUCAUUAGACCAUGACAUUAACCAUUCAUUUAAAGCAAAUAAUCUACUGAACCUUUCAUGUCCUCGUCGGUACAUUGGAAGCGGUCCGGACACGAUGAUCCUCGUCGCGGGUGAUGUGCUCCGUACUGUCUCGAUCAGGCUCCUGAAAUCCUGCCUCAGAAUCUCCAUCUGCCACAGCCUGAUGUCGUUCACCCCUGCGUGCAGCACUACAGCUCCGAUGCUCUCGUCACCAUUCAGGAUCGCGGGUACCUGCGCAGCAACAUCGAGAACACAGGCACCAGGAAAGCAGUGAAUGUGCACCUUACCUUUAGCUGAGGUAGCAUGGACGUGACAGACGAUAGAGUCUCAGAUGACCACAGCGCCGCGUUCUGUCUCACGAAAAGGGGAGAAGCGAGUUUGGGUGGAGAUCUUUUUUAAAAAGAAAUAUAGGCAAUUAGGAAUCAACUGGACUGACUCUAGUUUGGCAACUCAAACAGUGCGGCAGCAUCAAACAGGAAGUGACGAUGAAGUGUGGUUUUGCUGGGCUGUGACGUAAACUAAAGGCUGUUGGCUAUAAUAUUACUGACACAAGAUGCUCCAUCUGGUACAGAAUUUACUCUCUCCAGAUGUGACGAGAUGACAAGGAGAUGUAGUGAAACACCACAGAUGUCUUCCUCCGUGACCAGUGAUGAAGUAGUUUUGCCGAGGUCUUCUGAGCGAGGAGACGUCAACAAUUCAGUGUGCAUAGUAGCUAGUACUUUGGCUAGAUUAGCAUAAUUAUUGCCUUGAUUGAAGCUCUACUUCAGUUUCUAAUUUUAAAGUGUGAAUUUGUUAAAUAUGUUCAUGCUUAUGCUUUGCCAUGAUUUGCUUCACAAUUAUUAAUUUAUUAUGUAUUUUAUAACAUUUUAUAACACUCAUCUAUAAGCAGAGUUGGCAUUUUUGUUUUCUAUUCUAGGUUUGUUUUUGACCACUGCCAUAGGGUGGGACAAAUCCUGAGAUAAUAAUAGAUCCGUUUGUGGCUCCUCUGCAUAAUUACAGGGUUUGAUGGGUGUUUCACAGUAAAUCUAUUUCUACACCCAGUGAAACAUGAAGUUGAAAGCAGGACGUACAACAUCACAACUGUCCAGCAAAGACUAAUUUGUUGUCUAAAAGACGAUUCCCACAAUACAAAAAAAUUGAAGUAUUAAUCAUAAUUUGUCCCAUGUAUAACAACUGAUACAAUUGAACUGGACUGGCAUUUUAUAAAGGAAAUAUCAAUGCUUGCAAGAGAGCAAAAGAAUAGUGCUGACAUUUUCAGUAAGCUUGCAUUUCAGCCUUAGCUCUGUGUAAAUUAAAUGCCACAUUGUUUCACAUCAUCAGUCAGCUGCACACGAGAAUCACUGAGAGUCACUGUACAGUGUAAAGAUUGCUAUAAAUAGUUCAGUAUAUGCAAGGAAGACGAUACCAGUCACUGUUCAGUAUGCAUAUAUGCAAAAGUCAUGAUCAUUCUAUUGGAUAAAUUUUAACUGCUUGACAUAUCAGUGUAUGGGAGGCUUUCAAACUUAUCAAAUAUUUAAAUGGAUGUGUGUAAAACAAUAAUAGCACAUCAAAGGCUUAUAUAAUCCACAAAACAUUUCCUGGUGUUUAGUUCAGAAAAAACCUUGAGCAUAAUGUUUGAGUAACAUCAGUAUAGUGCGGCCUUCCAAAGACUGUAAGAAGUGCAGAACAGAUGUAUGUAUGGAAAUGUUUUCACUAUCUGUGAGAGCUCACGUUAUCAGAUUUCAUCAGAAACAGUGUGUAACAGAAUCUUUGAAGUGUCCAAAUCCAAUAAUGUGGUGGUGGGGGGAUUCUGUAUCUCUACCAUGAAAGCUUGAACAGUGAGGAUGUUAAACACAAAGACACAAAUACAAAAAAAUGUUAGACUGAUUGAUGGAUUGUUUAUUAAACAAUAUCAGAAGAAAAAUGUAGGUUGUAUACUACAUCAUGUCAGCAAUAAGUGUGCUCUCAACCAGAUGCAGACUUUGUUUUUUUUUUUGAUUGUUGCAGAUACCAAAGUAAACACGACCCAUUUUACUUUGAUAGUUUCAUUUGGAAUCAUCCAACAAUGAAGUAAAUGUAUAACAUUUUGAUUUCAUGUCAUUUGACAUUUUAUUUGACUACAGGAAUGUUAUUGCUGUUCUACACUAAAAUGAAGAAGCUGAGAUUAUUUAUCAUUCAAACAUACACUACCAUUCAAAAG
Ctenopharyngodon idella (grass carp) is the source of this 7405-nucleotide long non-coding RNA. RefSeq lists it as uncharacterized. NCBI's taxonomy places the organism in Eukaryota, Metazoa, Chordata, Actinopteri, Cypriniformes, Xenocyprididae. The transcript has 2 exons. The record is from RefSeq and is a predicted model, not a curated record.